Molecule: long non-coding RNA, 1159 nt
Organism: Mastomys coucha (southern multimammate mouse)
Lineage: Eukaryota; Metazoa; Chordata; Mammalia; Rodentia; Muridae
Exons: 5
Source: RefSeq, a predicted model, not a curated record
UUCUGGAAUCUCCCCUAGACAGUGCUAGUGUCCUGAUAUGUGGAAGGAGCUACUGAUUUAAGAGUAGGAAAUCAGCAGAAAUAGUUAUUAGCUAGAUUAAGGUAAGCAAGUAGGUCAAGGCCCCAAGGACACAGAAAUUGAAGCUUCUCAGCUAGGGAGACGUGCCACAGCUGGGUCAUUGCCAAAGUUAGCAGAACCUUGUAUGGCGAUGACCCUCAGUACACACUGCGCAAACCUGUUGAAUGAACAAGCUGAGAUGAAGGAUGUGUUUUGCCAGGGGAGACAACUAGCUAGUCUGAUCCACAGUGAAAUUGGAGAUGCUAGAAUAUAAAACAAAACCAUGUUCAGAUCCCAGAUUACUAAACUGCCUUGCUGUCACCAGAAUCAACGUGUCUGAUUAUUUUCUUGGGAGAAGGAAUGAAGGAAGUAUGGCUAACAAAAUGCAAGGCCUCUUCCAGGACAGGAGUCUUCACUCAACGCCUGCUGAUAUACCACUGAAUUUCAAAUGCCACUACUUUCUCAUCGAGUACACACUUUAUGGAUGACCUUGAACCUCUGAUCUUUCCAACUCUAUCUCCCAAUACUGGAAAUGCAGUUGAGACAGGCAUGUGCCAUCACACCUUCAUGAAUGCUAGAGCACGAACAUUUCGGGCAUCCUUACUCAGCUCUUUGUAUUAAAAGCACCAACUUACUACAACCCAGCACCAGCUACCCACUUUGAUGCUAAGUUUAUGGAUAAGAGCUCUGGAGUCGACAACGUGGUUUUUGAGGAUUCUAAAGACUCCUGGCAGCAAGUUUUGUGUGCUUGCGACUGUGUACAGUAAGUUUCUAUGGAAACUGAGACUACAAUAGUCAGUCUCGGGAAAAGGAACGAGGAAUCAUGGGAAAUCAGUGACCAUUUGUAAGAAUUUGCCCAGCACCCCAGGAUGCCAGUGCUGCACAGCCUUUGAGCUUGAAAACAGGAGGUUAGACGGCUGGGGGUAAGCAGCAAAGCGUUCCGAAUCCCAUCUCUAGGGAGUCUUGACAAGGGCUGUGAGGGCCGGGCCUUGAGUUUACCUGGAGUGCCCCUGUAACUCUAUUCCUUCCAAGCUUUCCACCUUGGCCUCUGACUCACGGGCAUCUUCGUACAGAGACUCUUCAUCCUCCCCCUCACUGUCGU